This 253-nucleotide ribosomal RNA is filed under the name uncultured bacterium. RNAcentral's name for it is "partial 16S ribosomal RNA". It matches the Rfam family "Bacterial small subunit ribosomal RNA", at positions 524 to 776 of the family's 1533-position model. The record is from RNAcentral.
UACAGAGGGUGCAAGCGUUGCUCGGAAUCAUUGGGCGUAAAGGGCAGGUAGGUGGUCCCAUUUGUCUGAGGUGAAAGCCUUGAGCUUAACUCAAGAAGUGCCUUAGAAACGGUGGGACUAGAGUGCUAGAGAGGGUUGUGGAAUUCCCGGUGUAGCGGUGAAAUGCGUAGAGAUCGGGAGGAAUACCGGUGGCGAAGGCGGCAUCCUGGACCGACAUUGACGCUGAGGAGCGAAAGCUAGGGGAGCAAACGGG